GGGUGUGGCCCUAAAAAGGACAAAAGGACCCCCCCCAAAAAAAUGAUACAAAAGAACAUAUUCACACAACAGACUCCAAGAUUUCAAAACCAAAUUUAUGGUUACCAAAGGGAAACUUGGCGGAGGGGGGGGGAAUUAGGAGGUUUGGAUUAAUAUAUAUACACACUACUAGAAAUAAAAGAGAUAAGGAACAAGGACCCACUGAAUAGCCCAGGGAAAUCUACUCAAUAUUCUGUAAUAAUCUAUAUGAGAAAACAAUCUGAGAAGAAAUGGAUAUAUGUAUAUGGAGAACUGAUCCAGAUUGUUGUGCCCUUGAAUCUAACAAAACAUUGUAAGUCAACUAUGCUCCAAUAAAAUGUUUAAAAUAAAUAGAUAGGAGUUCCCAUUACAGCUCAGCAGUUAAUGAACCCGAUCAGUAUCCAUGAGGACUCGGGUUCCAUCUCUGGCCUCGCUCAGUGGGUUAAGGAUCGUUAAGGUCCCGGUGUUGCCGUGAGCUGUGGUGUAGGCCAGAGAAAAAAAGGUUCAGUGAGCUCUUAAGGACAGGCCCUAAUUUAGCGUGACUGACGUCUUUAUAAGAGGAGGAAAUCUGGACCCACAGAGACACCAGCGAUGUUCACACAGAGGAAAAGCCAUGGGAACACACAGGGAGGGUGGCCAGGGGCCUGUCUACAAGACGCCUUGGGAGAAAAACCAGACCUGCCGGCACCUUGACUUUGGACUAGCAGCCUCUAGAACGGUUGAGAAAAUAAAUUUCUGUUGUUUAGGCCACCCAAACUGUGGUAUUUUGGUAUGGCAGCCUGAAACCACUAAUACAGUGAGAAGUGAAGAAAAAAAAAAAGCUGUAUGAAAAAAUAAGGUCAGGACCCAAAAAAAAAGACGGCCAAUCAGCAAACCAUGCACAGGUAGGGGGUGGCAUCGUGGCAGAUCUAAGACGAUCGAUUGAAAGUGUAUGGACUGGAGUUCCCAUCGUGGCUCAGUGGUUAGCGAACCCGACUAGCAUCCAUGAGGUUUCGGGUUUGAUCCCUGGCGUGGCUCAGUGGGUUAAGGAUCCCGCGUUGCCGUGACCUGUGGUGUAGGUCUCAGAGGCGGCCUAGAUUCUGAGUUGCUGUGGCUGUGGUGUAGGCUGGCAGCUAUGGCUCCGAUUGGACCCCUAGCCUGGGAACCUCCAUAGGCCCUAAAGAGACAAAAAAGACCACACACACACACACACACACACACACACAAAGCAUAUGGACUAAGAGAGCUGUGAGUAGGAAGGAGGAAGCAGAAGAGUGCCCUGUGUUUAUCUAGCACUUUCUGUGAGAGGCUUGGAGGGCACAUAUGACAAUAAGGAAAAAGCCCUGCCUAGCCAGACUUCACAGGCCAGCAAAGGGGGAGAAACCUUCAACACGGGGAAAGUACCAAAGAGGAAGGCAAUAAUUAACCCCAAAAUGCCAUAAAGAAAUGAUGCCAAAGUGCCCUAAGGCUGCUAAUUACAAGGCUCAGCUCUGCAAGGAGGGGCUGGCAGGGAGGCUGGAACUGGAGGAGGCUCAGGACUGGCUGCAGGGGGACUGGGCUAAGGAGGCUCUCCCAGGGCAGGGAGGGGGCCCAAGGGAGAGAAAUGACCUGGAAAAGCGAAAGGAAGGCCAUCUAAAGAAGGCCGGGUCAGGCAGUCUGCUGGUGAUGCUAUCUUUGAACUUGUCCCUGUCGCCUGCAGAGAUAAAGUGCGUCAAAUCAGAGCCAAGCUGACGGAACCAGGUCAGAUGCGUUGAGGCCAGGCAUAGCACUCUAAGGCACCAACAUCAAAAAACAGGAGAGGACGUUAGAGAAAUACAGUGGGUAGCGAAUUUACAGCCUGCGCUGCGGGGGUCCGAGGUCAAAGGCAAGGCCACGGGAGAAGCCAGAGGAUUGAGGAAACUAAGAUGGGGCCUCUCUCUGCCCAUCUGGAUUGAACAGUGAAGAGGAAAUUCAAGGCUCACUGAGCCGGAGGGAUCCGGGCUCUGUUUCAAGGCCCAGGGUCUCAAGCCCCCUCCAGCAAAGAGACUGAGGAAACACAGCAGAAGGAGGAAAGCAAGCAUCACGGAAGAAUCCAAAAUGACACAAGGCUGGCCCUGGUGACUUCAAACAUCCUGGGAGAGGUUCGGGUACCAGAAGCUGAGCUGGUUCCGUAUCAACCUCACACUAUCACAGAAGCAGUGCUUUCUCAUCAAGCAACAAAUAACUGAAUUAAUUUUUAAAAUGCUUCUGUUCUGUACAUCAAAACACUGUUCUUCUCUAUUUUGGUUUGGUUUUCUUUUUUCCUUUUUGGCUGCCCCACGGCAUAUGGAGUUCGCAACGCCAGAUCCUUAACCCACUGAGCCAGGCCAGGAAUCGAAGCUGCGUCCCAGUGCUCUCAACACUUGGCAGAUCCCGUUGCGCCACAGCAGGAACUCCCUUGUCUGGUUUUUUGGUCCCACCUCUACUCCUCCUUUAUGGCCAGUGAAGGAGGAUGUGCAUGGGAGAAUAUUAAUAUACACAGAAAUCUGACUAUCAAGGCAUUUCCCUCUCGCUGAGUAAAAGCAAGAAACGCCAAAUUCUCACAGUUCCUCAACUUUCUUUUUGCGUAAACAAUCUCACUUGAUUUUUGAAUUACUUUGUGGGAACAGAUGGUUUCCAAAUGUCUGACUUCUGACUACAGUAUAUGAAAGCAAUACUACUGAACUCUGAAAUUAAGAUGAAGAAAACACAGACAUACUUCAAGCUUGCGUCUGUCUUGGCAGGCCUGGUUUUCUUGAAUGGAGGCUUACACGAAAGCCCGACCUUCUUAUUUUUCUUCUUUCUCGCUUUUUUUCCCCUUUCUCGUUAAACAAUUCACAUGACACACACAAAAAUGCAUCUGAAACAUCACAGCAACCGAAAAUUCUGCUCCAAAAAAUACUUACACACCACAAAAAAAGAGUAGCAAGAACAGAAGCCUCUAGACUUCCUAUAACUUAUACACAAAUAAAGGCAUCCAAUAUGUAAAUAUCUGGGUUUAGGGUCUUACAUCCUUAAACUUGUGAUGGACUCUAAAAGUACAGACUAUACUUUUAUCAUUUGAAAUAAACACAGCAAUUAACACCAAAUUACCUUUAUUCCAACAAGUGACACAAUCAUUCCAAGAGUCCACAAAUGGUGAUCUUGGUGGCAGUACCAGAGCUAAGCCCAAGCCAGUUUCCCCAGAUGUCUCUCUAAGGCAGACCUAAGUCUAAUUUUCCAAAAACCCAGCCAAAUCUGGAAAGGAGCAUCACAAACAGGUUUUUGUGAGGCGCAGACAAAAGUUCAAGUCAUGUGGUCUGUCUGAUGAACCCAUGACCACCUUAAGCAGAGCGGAGCGUUUCUGCCAUUUAAAUUGCCAAGUCUGCGGAAAAGCACACUCAAUACAGCACGUAGGGGGAUAUGACUUUGGGGAGCUAUUAAGAAAAAAGUACAGGCUGCCCAGCCUAAACAAAGUAAGUCUCUAUAUCUGUACUUCUAUCUGUAAAGACAUAGGCAGCAAUUGAAAAUUCUAGUGCAAAAGAACUUUCAUGCCACAAAAAAACUGUCGAAAUAACAGAUGCUGCUAGACUGCCUAUAAAUUAUACAGAAAUAAAAGCAUCGGACACAUAAAUACAGUUGGGUUUUAUUUUUUGGUUAAGCCACUCACAUAUCUACAUACAUAGAAAUAUAUGCCUAUAAAUACAGGGGAUAACUAUCCUUACAGGAAAUCAGUAGACCUAUAGAUACACCUAUAGAUAGAGAGACACAGGUAGAUAGAAGGAUAGAUAUGAAAAAAGGGGAAAAAUAGACGAGUACAGACAAAAGGAGGAAAUCACUUAUGUUUAAAUAAGUAGCGGUGAAGCUGUGUAACAGGAUAGAAAAGGCCUUUGUUCACACCAGCAGGACAGCAAGAGCAAGAGGAAGCUGACCGCUGCCCGGAUCAACAGCGACAUGAAUUUCAAAAGGUAUCUCUACCCUUGAAAUGCUCAUACCAAAGAAGUGCUAAACCACAACAUGAAAAAUUUAAGUUUGCAACAGAGGUCAAAAAAAAAAAAAUUUCUUAGCCGAUCAAACCAAAACAAAAAAACUUAGCCAAUAAUUGCAGUUAAAAAAUGUAAAUAGUGAGUUUGCCACAUUUUUGCCUAAUAAUCUGCGUGCACCCGAAAUCCAAGAAGUCAUGGUGACUAACACACUAUUAUCUGUUAGAAUCCUUUCAAUGCUGAAGGGCAAACCCUGGACUGACCUUUAUAAAUUGGCACAGAUCAAAAAUUCCCAGAGGUUUUUGUGGCCUACAGUUGUGUGCUCUUAUUCUAGAAACAUGAUUAGUGUGCUCCUGCCUUUUCAAUACAGAGCAGCCCAGAAUGCAGGCCAUGAGAACAGAGGUGUGAGAGGGGAGACGGUUUCAGCCACACACAGAAACGUGGCAGAGCGAGCCUAUCUGGACGUGGUUCAGGGCCAGCAAACGCGUGCAGUCUUAGUAGUCCUAGUAGCAUUAUCCUCUACACCUCACAAGGGAGGAACUGAUCAGUAAGAAAAAAAUAAUAGGAAUGCAAAGGAUGUGACUCAUUGUUUCUGAGUGAAGUGUUUAGAAUAUAUGUAAUGAAUAAAAGACAUUGAGGGAGUUCCCAUAGUGGCGCAGUGGUUAAGGAAUCCGACUAGGAACCAUGAGGAUGCGGGUUCGAUCCCUGGCCUCACUUAGUAGGUUAAGGAUCUGGCGUUGCUGUGAGCUGUGGUGUAGGUCACAGACAUGGCUCGGAUCUGGUGUUGCCCUGGCUCUGGUGUAGGUCGGCAGCUACAGCUCUGAUGAGACCCCUAGAAACCUGGGAACUUCCGUAUGCCGAUGAGGCCCUAGAAAAAGACCACACACACAAAAAAAAGGCCAUUUAAAUGAGAGUGAUUACCACCAUAAGCAAUCUUACACUCAUGACUAAUAAAUUUAAUUCAAUAGCAGAAACAAUUUGCCACUAGCUGUAACCACUACAGAUCAGACAUUCUAAGAAAGCAUAUGGGAUUUCAGGUUUCAUUAUCUUGGUAAUAAAAAAUCUUUAUGCUGAAAUUAUGGAAU
RNAcentral lists this long non-coding RNA (5041 nucleotides) under Sus scrofa (pig). RNAcentral's name for it is "lncRNA (ENSSSCG00015057381.1)". The record is from RNAcentral. Lineage: Eukaryota; Metazoa; Chordata; Mammalia; Artiodactyla; Suidae.